AGGGAAUAUUGGACAAUGGGCGCAAGCCUGAUCCAGCCAUGCCGCGUGAGUGAAGAAGGCCCUCGGGUUGUAAAGCUCUUUUGUCCGGAAAGAAAAGCAUCGGGUUAAUACCCCGGUGUUCUGACGGUACCGGAAGAAUAAGCACCGGCUAACUUCGUGCCAGCAGCCGCGGUAAUACGAGGGGUGCAAGCGUUACUCGGAAUUACUGGGCGUAAAGCGUGCGUAGGUGGUUCGUUAAGUCUGAUGUGAAAGCCCUGGGCUCAACCUGGGAAUGGCAUUGGAAACUGGCGGACUGGAGUGCGGUAGAGGGUAGCGGAAUUCCCGGUGUAGCAGUGAAAUGCGUAGAGAUCGGGAGGAACAUCCGUGGCGAAGGCGGCUACCUGGACCAGCACUGACACUGAGGCACGAAAGCGUGGGGAGCAAACA
RNAcentral lists this ribosomal RNA (426 nucleotides) under uncultured bacterium. RNAcentral's name for it is "bacterial SSU rRNA". It matches the Rfam family "Bacterial small subunit ribosomal RNA", at positions 356 to 774 of the family's 1533-position model. The record is from RNAcentral.